GAGUUUGAUCCUGGCUCAGGAUGAACGCUAGCGACAGGCCUAACACAUGCAAGUCGAGGGGUAACAGGAGUAGCUUGCUACUAGAUGACGACCGGCGCACGGGUGAGUAACGCGUAUGCAACCUGCCUUAUACUGGGGGAUAGCCCAGAGAAAUCUGGAUUAAUACCGCAUAAUGAUCGAAUUUCGCAUGAUUUUUAAUUUAAAACUCCGGUGGUAUAAGAUGGGCAUGCGUAACAUUAGCUAGUUGGUAAGGUAACGGCUUACCAAGGCAACGAUGUUUAGGGGGUCUGAGAGGAUAGUCCCCCACACUGGUACUGAGACACGGACCAGACUCCUACGGAAGGCAGCAGUGAGGAAUAUUGGUCAAUGGGCGCAAGCCUGAACCAGCCAUGUCGCGUGUAGGAUGACUGCCCUAUGGGUUGUAAACUACUUUUUUACAGGAAUAAACUUUUCCACGUGUGGGAAACUGAAGGUACUGUAGGAAUAAGGAUCGGCUAACUCCGUGCCAGCAGCCGCGGUAAUACGGAGGAUUCGAGCGUUAUCCGGAUUUAUUGGGUUUAAAGGGUCCGUAGGCGGGCUUGUAAGUCAGUGGUGAAAUCUCACAGCUCAACUGUGAAACUGCCAUUGAUACUGCAGGUCUUGAAUUUAGUUGAGGUGGGCGGAAUACGAUAUGUAGCGGUGAAAUGCAUAGAUAUAUCGUAGAACACCGAUUGCGAAGGCAGCUCACUAAACUAAUAUUGACGCUGAUGGACGAAAGCGUGGGGAGCGAACAGGAUUAGAUACCCUGGUAGU
Molecule: ribosomal RNA, 792 nt
Filed under: uncultured Lactobacillales bacterium
Lineage: Bacteria; Bacillati; Bacillota; Bacilli; Lactobacillales
Description: bacterial SSU rRNA
Rfam family: Bacterial small subunit ribosomal RNA
Source: RNAcentral